Non-coding RNA from Picea glauca (white spruce), 1320 nucleotides. The record is from Rfam. NCBI's taxonomy places the organism in Eukaryota, Viridiplantae, Streptophyta, Pinopsida, Pinales, Pinaceae.
AGCGAGAAUGUCAGCUUGAGUAACGCAAACAUUGGUGAGAAUCCAAUGCCCCGAAAACCUAAGGGUUCCUCCGCAAGGUUCAUCCACGGAGGGUGAGUCAGGGCCUAAGAAUAGGCUGAAAGGCGUAGUCGAUGGACAACAGGUUAAUAUUCCUGUACUACCCCUUGUUGGUCCCAAGGGACGAAGGAGGCUAGGUUAGCCGAAAGAUGGUUAUCAGUUCAAGGACGCAAGGUGACCCUACUUUGUUCAGGGUAUGAAGGGGUAGAGAAAAUGCCUCAAGCCAGUGUCCGAGUACCAAGCGCUACAGCGCUGAAGUAACCCAUGCCAUACUCCCAGGAAAAUCUCAAACGACCUUUAAUAAAUGGGUUCCUGUACCCGAAACCGACAAAGGUAGGUAAGUAGAGAAUACCUAGGGGCGCGAGACAACUCUCUCUAAGGAACUCGGAAAAAUAGCCCUGUAACUUUGGGAGAAGGGGUGCCUCCUCAAAAGGUCGUAGUGACCAGGCCCGAGUGACUGUUUACCAAAAACAAAGGUCUUCGCAAACUCGUAAGACCAUGUAUGGGGGCUGACGCCUGUCCAGUGCUGGAAGGUUAAGGAAGUUGGUGAUCUGAUGAUGGGGAAGCCAGCGACCGAAUUCCCGGUGAACGAUGGCUGUAACUGUAACAGUCCUAAGGUAGCGAAAUUCCCUGUCGGUUAAGUUCUGACCCGCACGAAAGGCGUAACGAUCUGGGCACUGUCUCGGAGAGAGACUUGGUGAAAUAGACAUGUCUGUGAAGAUGCAGACUAUCUGCACCUGGACAGAAAGACCGUAUGAAGCUUUACUGUUCCCUGGGAUUGUCUUUGGGCUCUUCUUGGGCAUCUUAGGUGGAAGGCGAAGAAGGCUCCCUCUCCGGGGGGCCUCAGCCACCAGUGAGAUACCACUCCGGAAGAGCUAGAAUUCUAACCUUAUGUCAGGACCUACGAGCCAAGGGACAGUCUCAGGUAGACAAUUUCUAUGGGGUGUGGGCCUCCCAAAAGGUAACGGAGGCGUGCAAAGGUUUCCUCGAGCCGAACGGAAAUCAUCCCUCGAGUGCAAAGGAAGAAGGGAGCUUGACUGAAAGACCCACCCGUUGAGAAGGGACGAAAUUCGAACUUAGUGAUCCAAUGGUGCCAAGUGGAAGGGUCGUCGCUCAAUGAAUAAAAGUUACUCUAGGGAUAACAGGUUGAUCUUCCCCAAGAUUUCACAUCGACAGGAAGGUUUGGCACCUCGAUGUCAGCUCUUCGCCACCUGGGGCGGUAGUAAGUUCCAAGGGUUGGGCUGUUCACCCAUUAAAGUGGUA